AGCGAACGCUGGCGGCGUGCCUAACACAUGCAAGUCGAACGUGAAAAGGGAAACCUGAGUAAAGUGGCGUACGGGUGAGUCACGCGUAGGUAAUCUACCCCAGAAUCUGGAAUAACCUGCCGAAAGGCGGGCUAAUACUGGAUAGAGCGAGGGAACUCGUAAGAGAGUUUUUCGGGAAAGGGAGCCCGCAAGGGCCUUCGUUCUGGGAUGAGCCUGCGUCUCAUUAGCUAGUUGGUAAGGUAACGGCUUACCAAGGCGAUGAUGAGUAGCUGGUCUGAGAGGAUGAUCAGCCACACUGGAACUGAAACACGGUCCAGACUCCUACGGGAGGCAGCAGUGGGGAAUCUUGCGCAAUGGACGAAAGUCUGACGCAGCCACGCCGCGUGAGUGAAGAAGGCCUUCGGGUUGUAAAGCUCUGUCGGAUGGGACGAACAUCUUCAUAGUGAAUAGCUAUGAGGACUGACGGUACCAUCAAAGGAAGCACCGGCUAACUCCGUG
Molecule: ribosomal RNA, 498 nt
Filed under: uncultured bacterium
Lineage: Bacteria
Description: partial 16S ribosomal RNA
Rfam family: Bacterial small subunit ribosomal RNA
Source: RNAcentral